RNAcentral lists this ribosomal RNA (423 nucleotides) under uncultured bacterium. RNAcentral describes it as "bacterial SSU rRNA". It matches the Rfam family "Bacterial small subunit ribosomal RNA", at positions 355 to 787 of the family's 1533-position model. The record is from RNAcentral.
UGGGGAAUAUUGGGGCAAUGGGGGAAACCCUGACCCAGCAACGCCGCGUGAAGGAAGAAGGCUUUCGGGUUGUAAACUUCUUUUAUCCAGGGAGCGAAGGACGUGACGGUACCUGGAGAAAAAGCUCCGGCUAACUACGUGCCAGCAGCCGCGGUAAUACGUAGGGAGCGAGCGUUGUCCGGAUUUACUGGGUGUAAAGGGCGUGUAGGCGGAGGAGCAAGUCAGAAGUGAAAUCUCCGGGCUUAACCCCGGGAAACUGCUUUUGAAACUGUUCCCCUUGAGUACUGGAGAGGCAGGCGGAAUUCCUAGUGUAGCGGUGAAAUGCGUAGAUAUUAGGAGGAACACCAGUGGCGAAGGCGGCCUGCUGGACAGCAACUGACGCUGAGGCGCGAAAGCGUGGGGAGCAAACAGGAUUAGAUACCC